This 1271-nucleotide unclassified non-coding RNA is filed under the name uncultured Neocallimastigales. Its description in RNAcentral is "partial contains small subunit ribosomal RNA, internal transcribed spacer 1, 5.8S ribosomal RNA, internal transcribed spacer 2, and large subunit ribosomal RNA". The stretch from base 623 to 1271 matches the Rfam family "Eukaryotic large subunit ribosomal RNA", at positions 1 to 629 of the family's 3401-position model. Lineage: Eukaryota; Fungi; Neocallimastigomycota; Neocallimastigomycetes; Neocallimastigales. The record is from RNAcentral.
UGGAAGUAAAGUGUAACAAGGUUUCCGUAGUGAACCUGCGGAAGAUCAUUAAUAAAUUCUUUAGGUUGAAAUACGAACUAAAAAUAUAAUAAUCUACCCUUUGUGAAUUGUUGUUUGAAAUAAUUUUUAAAAAAAUUAUUUAUAGUUUGUCUUCCUGAGUUGUAGAGAAGUAAAUUCUUUGAAAGUUAGGGAUAGCUUAUCUAUAAUAUGAUUUUAAAGACCUUUUUUAAAUUAAACUUUUUGUAUUCAUUUGUCUAAUUUAUUUUUAAUAAUUUAAAACAACUUUUGACAAUGGAUCUCUUGUUUCGCAACGAUGAAGAACGCAGCAAAUGCAUAAGUAAUGUGAAUUGCAGAAUACGUGAAUCAUCAAUCUUCGACGCAUAUUGCACUUUUUAGUUUACUAAAAAGUAUGUCUGUUUGAUAUCAGUAAAAUAUUCUCAUAAAAAUUUAUUUUUAUGGUUUUGAGUGUUUUACAACGAUACAAGUUGUUUCACUUAAUUGACUUUAAAUUGCUAUUAAUUAGUCAAUUUUUAAAAUGCAUAAAAUUUUCCCGCAAAAAGGAAUACUAUCAUUUAAAAUUAACUGAUAUUAAAAGCCUUGAUAAAGAAUUUAAUUAAAUAACUGAUCUCAAAUCAGAUAAGAGUACCCGCUGAACUUAAGCAUAUCAUAAGCGAGGAAAAGAAACUAACAAGGAUUCCCUAGUAACGGCGAUGAGCGGGAAGAGCUCAAAUUUGAAAUCUUCAAGUUGACCUUGACGAAUUGUAGUUUAAAGAAGUGUUUUCGGUUAGAGAUGUAAAAGUUCUUGGAAUAGGACAUCAUAGAGGUGAGAAUCCGUAUUUACCAUUCUUCUAGCUUUGUGAUACACUUUCAAGAGUCGAUUGUUUGGAAGCAGUCAAAAUGGUGUAAUUUCAUCUAAAGCUAAUAUGCGAGAGACGAUAGCGAACAAGUACGUGAGGAAGAUGAAAGACUUUGAAAGAGAGUUAAACAGUAGUAAAUUGUCAAAAGGAAGCGUUUGACACCAGUGUUGUUUUCGAAAAUCAAUUAAAAAUGGAUUCAUGCAAUUGUAUUGACUUUAGCUUGCAAUUUUGUUUUGGUUCUUUUUGAUGCACUUUCGGUUAACAAGUCAACAUCAAUUUCCUUGCGUACAAGGGCAAAGGAAGGUGCUUCAAUUCGGUGAAGUGUUAUAGCCUUGUCCUGCAGUCGGGGAGAUUGAGGUUGCAGCGUAGAUCCUUCGGGUAGAAAUUCGUGCUAAGUAUAGCUUUAUAGACAAC